AUACGUAGGGGGCGAGCGUUGUCCGGAAUGAUUGGGCGUAAAGGGCGCGUAGGCGGCCCGGUAAGUCUGGAGUGAAAGUCCUGUUUUUAAGAUGGGAAUUGCUUUGGAUACUGUCGGACUUGAGUGCUGGAGAGGAUAGUGGAAUUCCUAGUGUAGCGGUAAAAUGCGCAGAUAUUAGGAGGAACACCGGUGGCGAAGGCGGCUAUCUGGACAGUAACUGACGCUGAGGCGCGAAAGCACGGGGAGCAAACAGGAUUAGAUACCCUGGUAGUCCACACUGUAAACGAUGAAUGCUAGGUGUAAGAGGUAUCGACCCCUUUUGUGCCGGAGUCAACACAAUAAGCAUUCCGCCUGGGGAGUACGGCCGCAAGGUUGAAACUCAAAUGAAUUGGCGGGG
RNAcentral lists this ribosomal RNA (397 nucleotides) under uncultured bacterium. RNAcentral's name for it is "partial 16S ribosomal RNA". It matches the Rfam family "Bacterial small subunit ribosomal RNA", at positions 523 to 918 of the family's 1533-position model. The record is from RNAcentral.